GUGGGGAAUAUUGGACAAUGGGCGCAAGCCUGAUCUAGCCAUGCCGCGUGGACGAUGAAGGCCUUAGGGUUGUAAAGUCCUUUCGCUGGGGAAGAUAAUGACUGUACCCAGUAAAGAAGCCCCGGCUAACUCCGUGCCAGCAGCCGCGGUAAUACGGAGGGGGCUAGCGUUGUUCGGAAUUACUGGGCGUAAAGGGCGCGUAGGCGGAUUGGAAAGUUGGGGGUGAAAUCACGGGGCUCAACCUCGGAACUGCCUUCAAAAGUCCCAGGCUAGAGUUCGAGAGAGGUGAGUGGAAUUCCGAGUGUAGAGGUGAAAUUCGUAGAUAUUCGGAGGAACACCAGUGGCGAAGGCGGCUCACUGGCUCGAUACUGACGCUGAGGUGCGAAAGCGUGGGGAGCAAACAGGAUUAGAAACCCUAGUAGUCC
RNAcentral lists this ribosomal RNA (425 nucleotides) under uncultured bacterium. RNAcentral describes it as "partial 16S ribosomal RNA". It matches the Rfam family "Bacterial small subunit ribosomal RNA", at positions 354 to 796 of the family's 1533-position model. The record is from RNAcentral.